CAAAUAAUGAACACCUGCUGAGGCCACACCCACACAGUUUUACACCACCCCAACCCAGGAAAGCACAAAGGAAAUGGUUGACGUGUUGGAGUCUAGCAGCUGCACCUUGUCAUCCUAAUUACGGCUGACUGCUCUUAAGACGCUGUGGAACUCCAACUGGUCGCCAGACUAUCAACGCUCUAAGUCUGCCAUCUGCCCUUGCUCCCUGCAAACCAGUGCUCACCCCUUGUGGGCCACCGACAAACCAGACUCCUAACCUGCCAGACCGGUCCUCGUUGGAACCCUGCCGAUUCUCAAGAGUUCCUUUGUUCGCUUCCAAGGUGCAAUAAUCUUUUGUUCACAAACUCACCUCCCUGUCCUCUCUGCAUGGUCCAACUUGCAACCUGAACCCUGACACAUGGAGCCAG
Long non-coding RNA from Phyllopteryx taeniolatus (common seadragon), 407 nucleotides. RefSeq lists it as uncharacterized. Lineage: Eukaryota; Metazoa; Chordata; Actinopteri; Syngnathiformes; Syngnathidae. The transcript has 3 exons. The record is from RefSeq and is a predicted model, not a curated record.